Long non-coding RNA from Amphiprion ocellaris (clown anemonefish), 303 nucleotides. The record is from Ensembl. Lineage: Eukaryota; Metazoa; Chordata; Actinopteri; Pomacentridae.
GAGAGAUGAAGAGAGAAGCAAGGCAGCUGUUGGUGGUGUAGACAGAAUCAGUGUCUUCGCCACUUAGCAGAAGCAGUUGGCAGGAGCCACCCUGAUGUUUCACUUCCUUCAACCCCCACACUCUCUUACAGUGGGCUCUACGGAGUGCAUGUGGACUUUUCAUGUGGCUUGGAGCCCCACUGAUCAGGAAAUAAGAACCCAACCUGGUAGCUGUCUGGCUCACCAGGCAGGGAGAACAUGCAAACUCUACACAGGAAGACCGGAGAUCCUCUAGCUGUGAGGCGACAGCGCUAACCACUGAGC